CCGGUUUCUCAUCUAUUCCACCCUCCCUGGUGCCAGUUGCCAGGGCCCUAGACAAGCGGGGCUUUCUGGAAGCUUCCUGGGAGAGAGACCACUGUAGAAGGGGCUGAUUCCAAAUGGCGACUGGUGAGAGAAGGAGUACACAGCCACCCCUCUCCCACAAUGCAUAAAUGAAGUGUGAAAGUGCCUGGUGUGGUGUGUACACCUGCCAUCUCAAUGCCCUAGAGGUGGAGGCAGCAAGGUCAGCUAUGCGUUCUGGGGAAUGGAACCUGGGGCCUUGGGCAUGAUAGGUGAGGACUUUCCAUUGAGCCACACCACUAUCUCCCUUGGGAAAUUGAAGCAACGUAAGUUAUUAUCAAGUGAUUUCAAGUUAUUAUCAUCCCAACUCAGAACAUCUGGAAGAGAGAAAACUCUAGAGACUGUGGAAAGGUAAGGGGGCUGUCAGAGGUUUAAAGAAAGAGAGUUGACCAUGACAGGUAGCUCUAAUGGUGACAAGUGGCAUAUACAUUUGUCAAAAUGACCACAGAAUGUGCAAGUGAAUGCCACUGUAAAUAUGGACUCUGGGGGCCAGUGGUGGAUCAUGUAGGUUCAUCCAUUAUUAUACUCAACACACCAUUCUGCUGUGGGAGUGUGAUUCGGAGAGAAGUUAUAUGGGAAAUUCCAUCUUUCUGAUUCAAUAUUGCUGUAAACCUAAUAUUUCUAUUUAAAAGUAGUCUAUUUUUGAGAA
Long non-coding RNA from Onychomys torridus (southern grasshopper mouse), 724 nucleotides. RefSeq lists it as uncharacterized. The transcript is spliced from 4 exons. Lineage: Eukaryota; Metazoa; Chordata; Mammalia; Rodentia; Cricetidae. The record is from RefSeq and is a predicted model, not a curated record.